GACGAACGCUGGCGGCGUGCUUAACACAUGCAAGUCGAACGGAAAGGCCCUGCUUUUGUGGUAUGCUCGAGUGGCGAACGGGUGAGUAACACGUGAGUAACCUGCCCUUGACUUUGGUAUAACUUCAGGAAACUGGGGCUUAUACCGGAUAGGAGCUCCUGCUGCAUGGUGGGGGUUGGAAAGUUUCGGCGGCUGGGGAUGGACUCGCGGCUUAUCAGCUUGUUGGUGGGGUAGUGGCUUACCAAGGCUUUGACGGGUAGCCGGCCUGAGAGGGUGACCGGCCACAUUGGGACUGAGAUACGGCCCAGACUCCUACGGGAGGCAGCAGUGGGGAAUAUUGCACAAUGGGCGGAAGCCUGAUGCAGCAACGCCGCGUGCGGGAUGACGGCCUUCGGGUUGUAAACCGCUUUCGCCUGUGACGAAGCGUGAGUGACGGUAAUGGGUAAAGAAGCACCGGCUAACUACGUG
Molecule: ribosomal RNA, 468 nt
Filed under: uncultured bacterium
Lineage: Bacteria
Description: partial 16S ribosomal RNA
Rfam family: Bacterial small subunit ribosomal RNA
Source: RNAcentral